Non-coding RNA from Taeniopygia guttata (zebra finch), 1671 nucleotides. Lineage: Eukaryota; Metazoa; Chordata; Aves; Passeriformes; Estrildidae. The record is from RefSeq and is a predicted model, not a curated record.
CCCGAGAGCUCGCGAGAACCGGUGGGGCGGGCGCUGGUCUCUCCUUGCUAUUGGUCCGCCAUGUGUCCAUAAAAGGGAGGGGGCAGGACCGGGCGUGCAGGUGGCGGCCUGAUUGGCUGGGUUUGCCAUGGCGGAAGGCGGCGGUGAGCGCGGAUUGGCCCGCUGAGCUGUCACUCACGCUGUAGCGGCGCUCGCUGCCGCUGCUCGGUUCCCGCCGCUGUCCCGCCGCCGCGCCUCACCCGGGGGUCCUGAGGAGCGGCUGUGCCCUGCGAGCCGCCGGCUGCGCCUCUGACCCGCUCCCUUCGGAGGGAAAAGUCAGCAGCAGUGGGGCACUGGGGUUGUUUUAAUGUAACCCUCCGUCCUGGUCACAUGGCCACCCAGCCUCACCCUGCCAGUGUCCCAGAGAGUCAUUCCUGCCUGCGGGUCCUUGCGGAGCUUUCCACAGUAUGAGGUGUAUUGUGCUACCUGACCACAUAAAGAUUUUCAUAUGUGGCCCAUGGGAAGCUCUUCCUGAACAUCUCUGUAGUUACAUUGAGAGACUGAUUGUGGUGCAAGUAGAGACAUCCAGCAACUGUAUCCUCUUUGUGAGCUGCUGCCAGCCUCUCGAGCAGGGCAUAUGUUCUUCUGUGCAUUAAAGGCACCCUUGGCUGCAGAGUUGUCUUGGUUUCCUGGUAAUUCUCUUUUGGUUCAUGGUGAAUUGCACACAUACAUUUCAAUACAUUUGCACUUAAGAUUCCAAUUCCGUCUCUCACAAUUUCAUAUAAUUUUCUUGUGCAUUGUUUGUGUCAAAGCUACAGUUAUGUUCAAUCUGAGAAGAGCAAUAAUUGAUACAUUGCUUUCAACAGUGUGUGAUGGAGGAGCAACCCAAAGCACUCAGUGUGGUGACCAUAGAACUACACAUCAUUUUGGCAAAUGCAACCUUGCAGUGCUACAAAGGGAUUUGUUUUGCUGAUCUAACACAAAAUUUGUGACAAAUGCAGAUGUUAUAUAUACAUUCCAAAGUUAAUUCCUUGCAAUACAUUGUCUUUUCUGCAUUUUGUUGUUUACAGAAGAUUUUAUUCAAAGCCCUAAAUCAAGGCAGUGGAAGAUUCCCACCAUGUGCAGAGUAAUUCAGGUCAGGCCUACAUCGCAAGAGCACUAAACAGAUAUUGAGACAAAGCUCUCCAGCUCGUGCUCUUACAACAGCAAUGAAGCAAAAUUGCACUGCAGAAUGUUUGAGUGCUGGUAUUGCUCAGAAAAAUUCAGCAAAAAAACUUACUUUGCAGAAUUCUGGGUUACAUGUUAUAUACCCUGAGCAAUCACUUCCCAAAAUUAUGAAUGAAAGAGAGAAAGCAAACUGAAAUGUCACUUUGUCAUUAUUUACCCGAAAGAGCACAUUCCUUUCUCAUGUAAAAAGUACAUUCAGCUCAACUCUCUUUCAAGAGCAUAGCCCUUUUAUAUAACAGUAAGUUUCUGGCUGUUGUCUGCCUGUGUAUAUAAGCAAUGGAAGCUGCAUAUUGUGAAAAUACUUUGCAUAGCAAGAGUUUAAUUUUCAAACCAGUGUGUGGGGAUUUAUUUGUAACUCUGUUGAUGCAUUUUGGGGAGGAUAUGUUAUCUCACGGCUUGUCAUGUCCUGCUAGCAAAACACCAAUACCUUAAAUCAUUUUGUACAAGUUAAACCUCUUGUGUAAA